Phascolarctos cinereus (koala) is the source of this 301-nucleotide non-coding RNA. NCBI's taxonomy places the organism in Eukaryota, Metazoa, Chordata, Mammalia, Diprotodontia, Phascolarctidae. The record is from RefSeq and is a predicted model, not a curated record.
UUAUAGGACAAAAACAAAAAACAAAACACACACACACACAAACACAAAUCCAGUAAUCUCAAUUGUAGUUAUACCAAGUUUUACUUGUGGAAGUACCUGUUAAGUCUUCUUUUGCAGUUACCACCAUUGGGUCAGUCCACCAGCCUAACAGAAAUGGUAAAACAAUCUGAUAGAGAGCCAGAAGACGACAUGUACCAGCAAUCUCAAGAAUCCCAGGUGGUUGUGGCUACCAGCCUGAGAAGCACUGUGUGAUCUGAAUGGACUAUUUUAGAGAGAAUUUCUGCUACAGACAAUCAAGCAA